Molecule: long non-coding RNA, 773 nt
Organism: Acanthochromis polyacanthus (spiny chromis)
Lineage: Eukaryota; Metazoa; Chordata; Actinopteri; Pomacentridae
Exons: 2
Source: RefSeq, a predicted model, not a curated record
GCAGUAUGACAGAAGAAAUGUAACAACAUGUUGCUAACACUGUGCUAGUAGUAAUUUUUUUCUUCUUUUUUUUCUUUUUCUUUUUUUCUUUUUUUUGUCUGCAAGUCCGCUCAAAAAUUACACCAACGAACCAUGGUGUCAUUACUUAAGCUUCAUGCAAUUUUUUUCUUAUUUGUGACUGUGGCCAUCACCUGCCCUCAUGGCAAAUUAACCUAUCAUGUUUAUUUCAAGCUGUUUCCUAUAUUAUGCCAUUGAGGGCUGUGCACACCCAAGUGAAACAUAAAACAAAGUGAGGCAUAGACCGUGUUCUGAGAGAAAAGGAUUCUAUUUAUUUGUGUUCUUUAAUUCACCCCUUGAAACCAAUUACAAAUCUGAGACCCUUCACAAACACCAGAUACGACAGAAUCCCAACAGGAUCAAUCAUGAAGAUGUCAGGAGACCACAGGAAGGAUAGAAGAAGCAGAGUGAGAUCCACAGACACUAACCCAGCAACCUCCACUGACUCAGUGACCGGAGGAACAGACUCUAUUGAGUUCUGAUCCAGCAAGCAAAGGAGGAAUCUGAAGAAGAAAACAGUGAGGAAGGAAUUGUUGUUCCAGACAUACAAUGCCCACUGUCACAAGAAAGACUUGUUACACUGCAGCAACAAGUAAACCCAACAACAGAGUCCUGCUCUUUUGGUCGGGACAUCGACUUGUGUGCCCUUGAAAUAGCACUUGGACAGUGACAGCGUCUUGUGUAAACAAUAAAAGUGUAUUUUUCAACUGGAAGAA